AAUCAACGCUGGCGGCGUGCCUAACACAUGCAAGUCGCACGAGAAAGGGGAGCAAUCCCUGAGUAAAGUGGCGCACGGGUGAGUAACACGUGAAUUAUCUACCUCCGAGUGGGGAAUAACUGAGAGAAAUCUUAGCUAAUACCGCAUAACACUUACGAGUCAAAGCAGCAAUGCGCUUGGAGAGGAGUUCGCGGCAGAUUAGUUAGUUGGCGGGGUAAUGGCCCACCAAGACGAUGAUCUGUAUCCGGCCUGAGAGGGCGCACGGACACACUGGAACUGAACACGGUCCAGACUCCUACGGGAGGCAGCAGUGGGGAAUUUUGCGCAAGUGGGGAAACCCUGACGCAGCAACGCCGCGUGGAGGAUGAAAUAUCUUGGUAUGUAAACUCCUUUCGA
RNAcentral lists this ribosomal RNA (396 nucleotides) under uncultured bacterium. RNAcentral describes it as "bacterial SSU rRNA". It matches the Rfam family "Bacterial small subunit ribosomal RNA", at positions 32 to 439 of the family's 1533-position model. The record is from RNAcentral.